Molecule: long non-coding RNA, 626 nt
Organism: Macrosteles quadrilineatus (aster leafhopper)
Lineage: Eukaryota; Metazoa; Arthropoda; Insecta; Hemiptera; Cicadellidae
Exons: 2
Source: RefSeq, a predicted model, not a curated record
ACAUUUUACAGGUAGGAGGGGAUGUAUCUUAACUGCCAUGUUUUACAAUGCACAAGACAGUUUACUUCCAAUUUACGUUUUCCUUUUACAAUAUGCUUAGGGCCUAUUUUGUUUACCACCAUACAGAAACAAAUCAAGUGUAUAGAAUAGACCAUUAAAAGAAAAACUCUGACUACAUUAUUUUUCUCUAUUCUUUUGAUUGUUAUCCAAUAAAUUGUUUGACGUGCUACCAGUCUUAUCACAAGGAGGAAAACGUUAGAAUCAAUAACUAACAACCGUUAUCUUUAUUGUACAGUAUGUUUACAUUCAUACUCUCAGUACACACAGAGAGGUCUACCUGAUAAGACUUGUACAUACUGAUUACCGACUUACGAGAUUCUACCAUGUGGAGGGCGGUUCUUGUUGUCUUAUUAGGCCUACUUCUGAGCCAACAAGUAUCCUGUCUGCCCCGGCCGGUAGCCGUACCAUCGCCUUCUGGCCGAGCCGACCCUGCCAUUUCCGCAUAUUACGCCCCUGCAGGCCCUGCUCCGGGACAUAAUUAUGAAGAAGAGCUUUUCUUGAGAAUGGGAAUAUAGUUUUAGUUAUUUUUUAACUUAUAACAGUUAAUAAUAAAUACUGUUGUAUUA